This 2113-nucleotide ribosomal RNA is filed under the name Triticum aestivum (bread wheat). RNAcentral's name for it is "eukaryotic LSU rRNA". The stretch from base 375 to 2113 matches the Rfam family "Eukaryotic large subunit ribosomal RNA", at positions 1 to 1746 of the family's 3401-position model. The record is from RNAcentral. Lineage: Eukaryota; Viridiplantae; Streptophyta; Magnoliopsida; Poales; Poaceae.
ACUCUCGGCAACGGAUAUCUCGGCUCUCGCAUCGAUGAAGAACGUAGGAAAUGCGAUACCUGGUGUGAAUUGCAGAAUCCCGCGACCAUCGAGUCUUUGAAGCAAGUUGCGCCCGAGGCCCAUCGGCCGAGGGCACGCCUGCCUGGGCGUCACGCCAAAACACGCUCCCAACCACCCUCAACGGGAUUCGGGAUGCGGCAUCUGGUCCCUCGUCUCUCAAGGGACGGUGGAACCGAAGAUUGGGCUGCCGGCGUACCGCGCCGGACACAGCGCAUGGUGGGCGUCCUCGCUUUAUCAAUGCAGUGCAUCCGGCGCGCAGCUGGCAUUAUGGCCUUGAACGACCCAACAAACGAAAGCGCACGUCGCUUCGACCGCGACCCCAGGUCAGGCGGGACUACCCCGCUGAGUUUAAGCAUAUAAAUAAGCGGAGGAGAAGAAACUUACAAGGAUUCCCCUAGUAACGGCGAGCGAACGGGGAGCAGCCCAGCUUGAGAAUCGGGCGGCUGUGCCGUCCGAAUUGUAGUCUGGACGAGGCGUCCUCAGCGACGGACCGGGCCCAAGUCCCUGGAAAGGGGCGCCUGGGAGGGUGGAGCCCCGUCCGGCCGGACCCUGUCGCCCCACGAGGCGCCGUCAACGAGUCGGGUUGUUUGGGAAUGCAGCCCAAAUCGGGCGGUAGACUCCGUCCAAGGCUAAAUACAUGCGAGAGACCGAUAGCGAACAAGUACCGCGAGGGAAAGAUGAAAAGGACUUUGAAAAGAGAGUCAAAGAGUGCUUGAAAUUGCCGGGAGGGAAGCGGAUGGGGGCCGGCGAUGCGCCCGGCCGUAUGCGGAACGGCUCUUGCCUGGUCCGCCGCUCGGCUCGGGGUGUGGACUGUUGUCGGCCGCGCCGGCGGCCCAAGCCCGGGGGCCUAGGUGCCCCCGGUGGGCCGUCGUCGGGCACGGCCCGGUACCCGCGCGCCUAGAAGGCGUGUCCCCUCGGGGCACUGCGCUGCAACGGCCUGCGGGCUCCCCAUCCGACCCCGUCUUGAAACACGGACCAAGGAGUCUGACAUGCGUGCGAGUCGACGGGUUCUGAAACCGGGAUGCGCAAGGGAGCUGACGAGCGGGGAGGCCCUCAACGGGCCGCACCGCUGGCCGACCCUGAUCUUCUGUGAAGGGUUCGAGUUGGAGCACGCCUGUCGGGACCCGAAAGAUGGUGAACUAUGCCUGAGCGGGGCGAAGCCAGAGGAAACUCUGGUGGAGGCUCGGAGCGAUACUGACGUGCAAAUCGUCUCGUCUGACUUGGGUAUAGGGGCGAAGACUAAUCGAACCAUCUAGUAGCUGGUUCCCUCCGAAGUUUCCCUCAGGAUAGCUGGAGCCCAUUACGAGUUCUAUCAGGUAAAGGCAAUGAUUAGAGGCAUGGGGACGCAACGUCCUCGGACCUAUUCUCAAACUUUAAAUAGGAUAGGAUGGCGCGGCUGCUUCGGUGAGCCGUGCCAUGGAAUCGGUGCUCCAAGUGGGCCAUUUUGGGUAAGCAGAACUGGCGAUGCGGGAAUGAACCGGAAGCCGGGUUACGGUGCCCAACUGCGCGCUAACCUAGAACCCACAAAGGGUGUUGGUCGAUUAAGACAGCAGGACGGUGGUCAUGGAAGUCGAAUCCGCUAAGGAGUGUGUUAACACUCACCUGCCGAAUCAACUAGCCCCGAAAUGGAUGGCGCUGAAGCGCGCGACCCACACCCGGCCAUCUGGGCGAGCGCCAUGCCCCGAUGAGUAGGAGGGCGCGGCGGCCGCUGCAAAACCCGGGGCGCGAGCCCGGGCGGAGCGGCCGUCGGUGCAGAUCUUGGUGGUAGUAGCAAAUAUUCAAAUGAGAACUUUGAAGGCCGAAGAGGAGAAAGGUUCCAUGUGAACGGCACUUGCACAUGGGUAAGCCGAUCCUAAGGGACGGGGUAACCCCGGCAGAUAGCGCGAUCACGCGCAUCCCCCGAAAGGGAAUCGGGUUAAGAUUUCCCGAGCCGGGAUGUGGCGGUUGACGGCGACGUUAGGAAGUCCGGAGACGCCGGCGGGGGCCUCGGGAAGAGUUAUCUUUUCUGCUUAACGGCCUGCCAACCCUGGAAACGGUUCAGCCGGAGGUAGGG